RNAcentral lists this small RNA (197 nucleotides) under Escherichia coli O157:H7 str. EC869. RNAcentral describes it as "Gammaproteobacterial sRNA STnc100". It matches the Rfam family "Gammaproteobacterial sRNA STnc100". Lineage: Bacteria; Pseudomonadati; Pseudomonadota; Gammaproteobacteria; Enterobacterales; Enterobacteriaceae. The record is from Rfam by way of RNAcentral.
GCGGGGAGUUUGUUAAAAGAAACUGGCAUGGUGAAUCCCCCUGAGCGGAGGGGCAUAUCAGCGCAGGUGUUUCUACUCUAUCCUUUCUGUGCGGGUUCAGGUGCUGAUACUGAACUCACCGGGAGGCACCCGGCACCAUGCAUAUGGUUAACAGACACGUAGCGAAGCCCCUCUCCGGAGGGGCUUUUUUUAUGGGC